CUUUCUGCCGGGCUCGGCUUUUCACACCUUCCCCGAUGAUGCGUGAGGACGUUUUGGGAGAGAGCGGCUCGGUGGGGUCCCCUCCGACCAGGUCCCCCUCGACCUUGCAGGAACCCGGCCGGGCGGCGAGGGUCUGGGAUUGUGCCGGGUUUCAAGGACACGGGAGAUGAUCAGGACUUUGGGAGCCAACAUCUGCCUGGCUGGUGACGUCAGCAACCCCGUGUAAUCCUCUUGUACUGAAGGCAGAUGCCUUAUUUGUUUGGCUGGAGAGGCAUUAAUCCCUAAUUCUGGAGCAGCAAGCGAGGGGGAGAGACCGGACCGCUUCCUAUCCCCCGAAAGCAGCUAGAGGGGCUCUCCUCUCCUGCACUCCCAGGCUCCGACUGGGUGGAGGAGCCGCCAGCCCUCGGCAGGCGGCCGCACGCAGGAGCUACGGUGCCGAGGGGGGCCGAAGCCGCUUUCCCAGUUUGCCCCUGGAUGCCCCGGCAAGCUACGGGAAAAGUCUUUGGGAAGCUCAGCUCGCCGCAGGAUCCCGACCGUCGCCGCUGCAAGCGCAGCACAUCCCGCUUCGCCUCCUCUCUCUCUCCCGGGCCCUGGCGCCGAGGAAGCAGUCGAGGUCAGCUGCCCGGUUCCUGGGGUCCGGCCGUGCUCGAGCUCGCAGGGUGAUGCAGGGUGCCCGGCCGCUCCGCUCCUCCCCGGCGCGCCGUCGGCACCGAAAAGGAAUGGUCCCGAUCCUGGGCCGUGAAAGAUGGCAAAAAGCGUAAUAACAAUAAUAAUAAUAAAAGCUUAGGCUAAUUUUAUUAUUUUUUAAAAUUA
Molecule: non-coding RNA, 813 nt
Organism: Lonchura striata (white-rumped munia)
Lineage: Eukaryota; Metazoa; Chordata; Aves; Passeriformes; Estrildidae
Source: RefSeq, a predicted model, not a curated record